GAUGAACGCUGGCGGCGUGCCUAAUACAUGCAAGUCGAGCGAACGGACGACAAGCUUGCUUCUCUGAUGUUAGCGGCGGACGGGUGAGUAACACGUGGAUAACCUACCUAUAAGACUGGGAUAACUUCGGGAAACCGGAGCUAAUACCGGAUAAUAUUUUGAACCGCAUGGUUCAAAAGUGAAAGACGGUCUUGCUGUCACUUAUAGAUGGAUCCGCGCUGCAUUAGCUAGUUGGUAAGGUAACGGCUUACCAAGGCAACGAUGCAUAGCCGACCUGAGAGGGUGAUCGGCCACACUGGAACUGAGACACGGUCCAGACUCCUACGGGAGGCAGCAGUAGGGAAUCUUCCGCAAUGGGCGAAAGCCUGACGGAGCAACGCCGCGUGAGUGAUGAAGGUCUUCGGAUCGUAAAACUCUGUUAUUAGGGAAGAACAUAUGUGUAAGUAACUGUGCACAUCUUGACGGUACCUAAUCAGAAAGCCACGGCUAACUACGUG
RNAcentral lists this ribosomal RNA (497 nucleotides) under uncultured bacterium. Its description in RNAcentral is "partial 16S ribosomal RNA". It matches the Rfam family "Bacterial small subunit ribosomal RNA", at positions 28 to 507 of the family's 1533-position model. The record is from RNAcentral.